This is a non-coding RNA of Macaca mulatta (Rhesus monkey), 457 nucleotides long. NCBI's taxonomy places the organism in Eukaryota, Metazoa, Chordata, Mammalia, Primates, Cercopithecidae. The record is from RefSeq and is a predicted model, not a curated record.
AGCAGGAUUCAAGCUGGGGAUGACUCUAAACCUGUGCCUAUAACCAUGGCCCUCCUGGGAAGGGAAGCAGAGGGAGGCUGCAGUUCUCCAGCGGCCCCCGCCACACCUCUGUGAGAGCCAUACGGGUGGGCGGCGCGGCCACUCCUUCAGCCCAUCCAGCGCCUGGGCCCUGGCUGGGUUGAUACAUUAUUUCCUUGGAAAGCCGGAAGCUGCUAAGAAUCACUGCAGAACAUGAAACUGAGACUCAGAGAGGUGAAGUGACUUGAAGAACAAGGUGGCCCUGGAGACAAGAAAGAGGAGGAGAAAGAAAUGACCCAGGCCGGGCUGUUCUGGGGACCACCCCCAUCCCAGCUACAGGGGGAGGCUCUUGUACCUAAGAAAUUGUAUCCAUCACUGAGGUCCCCCACCUCCAGCCUUUAUAUGAAAGAAAUAAAGUAAACAUGUUUUUAGGCUGCAA